RNAcentral lists this ribosomal RNA (253 nucleotides) under Segatella copri DSM 18205. RNAcentral's name for it is "Prevotella copri DSM 18205 partial 16S ribosomal RNA". It matches the Rfam family "Bacterial small subunit ribosomal RNA", at positions 524 to 776 of the family's 1533-position model. Lineage: Bacteria; Pseudomonadati; Bacteroidota; Bacteroidia; Bacteroidales; Prevotellaceae. The record is from RNAcentral.
UACGGAAGGUCCGGGCGUUAUCCGGAUUUAUUGGGUUUAAAGGGAGCGUAGGCCGGAGAUUAAGCGUGUUGUGAAAUGUAGAUGCUCAACAUCUGAACUGCAGCGCGAACUGGUUUCCUUGAGUACGCAUAAAGUGGGCGGAAUUCGUGGUGUAGCGGUGAAAUGCUUAGAUAUCACGAAGAACUCCGAUUGCGAAGGCUGCUCACUGGGGCGCAACUGACGCUGAAGCUCGAAAGCGCGGGUAUCGAACAGG